AUGGCUGACAGAAUGAGAACAUUCUUGGUGUUUGCUGUGUUGGUGUUAACAGGUGUUCAAGGCUGGAGCAUAACACAGUCUGACCCAGUUGUGACCAGACCAGGAGAGUCUCACAGACUGACCUGUACAGCAACUGGACUAAGCUUUAGCAGCUACUGGAUGGCCUGGAUCAGACAGGCUCCUGGAAAAGGACUGGAGUGGAUCGCUACUUCCACGAAUGGUGGGGGUGCUUACUAUUCCCAGUCAGUCCAAGGCCGUUUCACCACCUCUAGAGACAACAGCAAAGAGCAGAUGUAUCUGCAGAUGAACAGUCUGAAAACUGAAGAUUCUGCUGUUUAUUAUUGUGCACGACUCCCACAGUGACUGGAGUUAGUGAA
This is a non-coding RNA of Sphaeramia orbicularis (orbiculate cardinalfish), 377 nucleotides long. The record is from the annotation of a RefSeq genome assembly. NCBI's taxonomy places the organism in Eukaryota, Metazoa, Chordata, Actinopteri, Kurtiformes, Apogonidae.